AUACGUAGGUGGCAAGCGUUGUCCGGAUUUACUGGGCGUAAGGGAUGCGUAGGCGGAUAUUUAAGUGAGAUGUGAAAUUCCCGGGCUUAACUUGGGGGCUGCAUUUCAAACUGGGUAUCUAGAGUGCAGGAGAGGAGAAUGGAAUUCCUAGUGUAGCGGUGAAAUGCGUAGAGAUUAGGAAGAACACCAGUGGCGAAGGCGAUUCUCUGGACUGUAACUGACGCUGAGGCAUGAAAGCGUGGGUAGCAAACAGGAGUAGAUACCCUGGUAGUCCACGCCGUAAACGAUGAGUACUAGGUGUAGGAGGGUCCAACCUUCUGUGCCGCAGUUAACACGAUAAGUACUCCGCCUGGGAAGUACGAUCGCAAGAUUAAA
RNAcentral lists this ribosomal RNA (375 nucleotides) under uncultured bacterium. RNAcentral describes it as "bacterial SSU rRNA". It matches the Rfam family "Bacterial small subunit ribosomal RNA", at positions 523 to 898 of the family's 1533-position model. The record is from RNAcentral.